Molecule: small RNA, 73 nt
Rfam family: bZIP non canonical Hac1/Xbp1 intron
About the family: bZIP intron RNA is a non-canonical intron that was first reported in HAC1 gene in yeast and XBP1 gene in Metazoa.
Source: Rfam
CGCUUCCGCCGAUACGACACAACAUCCUGCAGCGAUGUUGUGCCAAGACCUGCAGUGUCGGUCGGCGGAAGCG